This 330-nucleotide long non-coding RNA is filed under the name Mus musculus (house mouse). Its description in RNAcentral is "predicted gene, 48439". The record is from RNAcentral. Lineage: Eukaryota; Metazoa; Chordata; Mammalia; Rodentia; Muridae.
AAAUCAGUGUAAAUCCUACCUGGGAGUCUCUAAGCCACUUGAUUCACUGGAAUUUAGGGUUAGGUCUACAAGAAGGCAAUAUUCUUUUAUCAUGAUUAUAACACAGAGCUUGUUAAACAGCAGCAUGACUAUCCCUCGCCAGUAGAUAUCAAACAACAUAAUAAACAGAAAACACUGUUUCCCCAAUGUGCUCCUUGUCAAUUGGUUUCAGUAAAGUUAAUCAAAAGGCAUGAUUCCACUGCAGGAGAAUCUGCUGAGUUGGACACUCUGGGAAGAGAUGGGAGAUAGGAAUAAGGGAAAAGUUCUUUCAGGGACACACACACACACACA